GGAAGAGAGGGCAAGGAAAAACCAGUGAGGUCAGUGCUUUGGUAGUCCCUCUGAGAAAGAAUAGUUCAAGAGGAAGCAAUCAAAUACGUGGAGGCAGGGGGACUUUCCAAGGAUUGAGCAUGGGGAAGGAACCAUCUCCCCAAAGCAGUGGCCAGAUCAUGACUCCACCCUAUUUAAAAAUCAUCAGCAGUUCCCUGUCGACUUGGCUGCAAACUACUUAAUCUGACAGUUGCCCAGUGAUGGGUCUCCAUCUCACUUCUGCAGCCUUACCUUACGUAUAUACAGCUGGUCCUCAAGCAAAAUUGAACUGACUGCUAUAAUUCCUACCAACUUUUUACAGAUGAGCCAACUCAUUUGCCUAAAUUGUCUCUGCCUGGAACAGUGCCUCCCAUGCCCUCUUCUAGACCCCAAAUCUGUUGACGUCCUUGAAGGCCUGUCUCAUAAUGUAGCUCCUACCUGGAACCUUUUGUGAUGUUUACUCUCCUCUGAAAUCCUGGUCUGUUUUUACUUCCCUUGUGGCAUUAUAUGCUGCCUCAUCGUGAGUUUUGUGUAAUCAUUUCAUGCCCAUUACUAAAUAUUCCUCCUUGCAAAUCACUUUAUGUUAGCGCCUCUUGCAGGGUCGGUCUCACUUUUUAUACAUAAGAGGUGCUCCUCAACUAGCUGCUGAAUUGAGUUAUAAACUUUCAUGGACUCUGAAGAGCAUCCUUGCCUCUCUCUCUAAGAGUAUGAUCGCUAACCCUCAAAGAGAAAGUCUUUAUACUCUGGGAGAAACAAAAAGAAAAAGAAACCGAAGAAGCUGAAAGGCAAUUAUUUCACAGCACUCCUGUUACAAUCGAGAAUUUCUUAAGUUGGAAGACCAAGUUUGAUGCCGAACUCUUGGAAAUUAAAAAGAAACGAAGGAAAGAAAGAAAAGCAGGGACAAAUAAAGUGGGAAACAGCCAUUUGAAACAGAUUAUAAUCUUGACACAUCUGCUAUCCAGUUCUUAGAGGAUGCUGGAAACAGUGUGGAGGUAGGCGAGACUGUGUUCCUGGAAGUGGAUGACUUGGAGCUGGAGGAUAAUGGGGAUGACCCAGACUACAAUCCUGCUGACCCGGAGAGUGGCUUGACUGACUAGUGGACUCUCCCCAUCUGCAGAGAGCCCUGACUGCCACAGCAUCCGCGGCUAUGCUGAAAGGGUGCGGAUUUUCCUUUCUUUUUUUUCCUAAGAAAAAAUAGUUUUCAGGGAAAUAUUCUUCUCAUAGCUUUUAUCAUUGAACUUAAUAAGCUGACUUUAAAAUUAAAAACAAAAACAAAACCAUGAGAUUUCCUAAGAUGAGAUUUAAACUUUUGAAGAGAAACGGACUGUCUUUCU
This is a long non-coding RNA of Equus asinus (donkey), 1352 nucleotides long. The record is from Ensembl. Lineage: Eukaryota; Metazoa; Chordata; Mammalia; Perissodactyla; Equidae.